ACAAUGAAGAGUUUGAUCCUGGCUCAGGAUGAACGCUAGCUACAGGCUUAACACAUGCAAGUCGAGGGGCAGCAUUUCAGUUUGCUUGCAAACUGGAGAUGGCGACCGGCGCACGGGUGAGUAACACGUAUCCAACCUGCCGAUAACUCGGGGAUAGCCUUUCGAAAGAAAGAUUAAUACCCGAUGGUAUAAUCAGACCGCAUGGUCUUGUUAUUAAAGAAUUUCGGUUAUCGAUGGGGAUGCGUUCCAUUAGGCAGUUGGUGAGGUAACGGCUCACCAAACCUUCGAUGGAUAGGGGUUCUGAGAGGAAGGUCCCCCACAUUGGAACUGAGACACGGUCCAAACUCCUACGGGAGGCAGCAGUGAGGAAUAUUGGUCAAUGGGCGCAGGCCUGAACCAGCCAAGUAGCGUGAAGGAUGACUGCCCUAUGGGUUGUAAACUUCUUUUAUAUGGGAAUAAAGUUUUCCACGUGUGGAAUUUUGUAUGUACCAUAUGAAUAAGGAUCGGCUAACUCCGUGCCAGCAGCCGCGGUAAUACGGAGGAUCCGAGCGUUAUCCGGAUUUAUUGGGUUUAAAGGGAGCGUAG
This 585-nucleotide ribosomal RNA is filed under the name Bacteroides thetaiotaomicron. RNAcentral describes it as "bacterial SSU rRNA". It matches the Rfam family "Bacterial small subunit ribosomal RNA", at positions 1 to 574 of the family's 1533-position model. Lineage: Bacteria; Pseudomonadati; Bacteroidota; Bacteroidia; Bacteroidales; Bacteroidaceae. The record is from RNAcentral.